GACGAACGCUGGCGGCGUGCCUAACACAUGCAAGUCGAGCGGGGACAUUGGAGCUUCGGUUCUGAUGUUCUAGCGGCGGACGGGUGAGUAACGCGUGAGCAAUCUGUCCCAUACAGGGGGAUAACAGCUGGAAACAGCUGCUAAUACCGCAUGAGACCACAACGUCACAUGACGAAGGGGUCAAAGGAGCAAUCCGGUAUGGGGUGAGCUCGCGUCCCAUUAGGUAGUUGGUGAGGUAACGGCCCACCAAGCCGACGAUGGGUAGCCGACCUGAGAGGGUGAUCGGCCACACUGGAACUGAGACACGGUCCAGACUCCUACGGGAGCAGCAGUGAGGAAUAUUGGUCAAUGGGCGAGAGCCUGAACCAGCCAAGUAGCGUGAAGGAUGACUGCCCU
RNAcentral lists this ribosomal RNA (396 nucleotides) under uncultured bacterium. Its description in RNAcentral is "bacterial SSU rRNA". It matches the Rfam family "Bacterial small subunit ribosomal RNA", at positions 28 to 418 of the family's 1533-position model. The record is from RNAcentral.